Molecule: non-coding RNA, 148 nt
Filed under: Nomascus leucogenys (northern white-cheeked gibbon)
Lineage: Eukaryota; Metazoa; Chordata; Mammalia; Primates; Hylobatidae
Source: Rfam by way of RNAcentral
GCUGGGUGUGGUGGCGCAUGCCUGUAAUCCCAGCUACUCGGGAGGCUGAGGCAGGAGAAUCGCUUGAACCUGGGAGGCAGAGGCUGCAGUGAGCCAAGAUCGCACCACUGCACUCCAGCCUGGGCAAUAGAGCGAGACUCUGUCUCAA